CGGGAGCCUGUACAGGUGCUGCAUGGCUGUCGUCAGCUCGUGUCGUGAGAUGUCCGGUUAAGUCCGGUAACGAGCGCAACCCUUGUCGUAUGUUACAUGUGUCGUACGAGACUGGCUGGUAGUUAAAGCCGGAGGAAGGUGGGGAUGACGUCAAGUCAGCAUGGCCUUUAUAUCCUGGGCUACACACACGCUACAAUGGUCGGUACAAUAGGUUGCCAAGCCGCGAGGCGGAGCCAAUCCAUAAAAGCCGGCCUCAGUUCAGAUUGUAGGCUGCAACUCGCCUGCAUGAAGAUGGAGUUGCUAGUAACCGCAGGUCAGCAAUACUGCGGUGAAUACGCUCCCGGGUCUU
This 349-nucleotide ribosomal RNA is filed under the name uncultured Anaerolineaceae bacterium. Its description in RNAcentral is "bacterial SSU rRNA". It matches the Rfam family "Bacterial small subunit ribosomal RNA", at positions 1023 to 1382 of the family's 1533-position model. Lineage: Bacteria; Bacillati; Chloroflexota; Anaerolineae; Anaerolineales; Anaerolineaceae. The record is from RNAcentral.